GUGGGGAAUAUUGGACAAUGGGCGAAAGCCUGAUCCAGCCAUGCCGCGUGAGUGAUGAAGGCCUUAGGGUUGUAAAGCUCUUUCAGUAGGGAAGAUAAUGACGGUACCUACAGAAGAAGCCCCGGCUAACUUCGUGCCAGCAGCCGCGGUAAUACGAAGGGGGCUAGCGUUGUUCGGAUUUACUGGGCGUAAAGCGCACGUAGGCGGAUUGGUCAGUUAGGGGUGAAAUCCCAGAGCUCAACUCUGGAACUGCCCUUAAUACUGCCAAUCUAGAGUCCGGAAGAGGUGAGUGGAACUCCUAGUGUAGAGGUGGAAUUCGUAGAUAUUAGGAAGAACACCAGUGGCGAAGGCGGCUCACUGGUCCGGUACUGACGCUGAGGUGCGAAAGCGUGGGGAGCAAACAGGAUUAGAUACCCGUGUAGUCC
RNAcentral lists this ribosomal RNA (425 nucleotides) under uncultured bacterium. RNAcentral's name for it is "partial 16S ribosomal RNA". It matches the Rfam family "Bacterial small subunit ribosomal RNA", at positions 354 to 796 of the family's 1533-position model. The record is from RNAcentral.